GGAAAAGGCCGCUCGCUCGAGAUUGCGCGCAGACCGGAUCUCACUACGUUGCCCAGGAUGGUCUUGAACUCCUGGACUCAAGCAAGCCUCUUGCCUCGGCCUCCUAAAAAGCUGGGAUGACAGGCAUGAGUCACCGUGCCCAGUCUUCAUUCUUUAAAUAUUUGGUAGAAUUCAUCAGUGAAGCCAUCUCAUCCGGGGCUUUUCUUUGUUGACAGAUUUUUUAUUACUGAUUCAAUCUCAUUCUAACUAUAGGUUUGUUCACAUUUUCUUUUACUUUAUGAUUCAGUCUUGAUAAAUUGUAUUUUUCUAGGAAUUUAUCCAUUUCUUCUAGGUUAUCCAAUUUGUUAGUGUACAGUUGUUCAUAGUAUUCUCUUAUCCUAUUUAUUUCUGUGACUUUGAUUGUAAUGUUCUGAUUUUGGUUAUUUGAGUAUUUCUUUUUUUCUUAAUUUAGCUACAGGUUGUCAAUGC
Molecule: long non-coding RNA, 468 nt
Filed under: Homo sapiens (human)
Lineage: Eukaryota; Metazoa; Chordata; Mammalia; Primates; Hominidae
Description: non-protein coding lnc-SPPL2A-1:5
Source: RNAcentral